RNAcentral lists this ribosomal RNA (253 nucleotides) under uncultured bacterium. Its description in RNAcentral is "partial 16S ribosomal RNA". It matches the Rfam family "Bacterial small subunit ribosomal RNA", at positions 524 to 776 of the family's 1533-position model. The record is from RNAcentral.
UACGUAGGGUGCAAGCGUUGUCCGGAAUUAUUGGGCGUAAAGAGCUCGUAGGCGGUCUGUCGCGUCGGCUGUGAAAACCCGGAGCUCAACUCCGGGCCUGCAGUCGAUACGGGCAGACUGGAGUUCGGCAGGGGAGACUGGAAUUCCUGGUGUAGCGGUGAAAUGCGCAGAUAUCAGGAGGAACACCGGUGGCGAAGGCGGGUCUCUGGGCCGAUACUGACGCUGAGAAGCGAAAGCAUGGGGAGCGAACAGG